AGACCAUUAGCUCAACGGGCAGAGCACCUGACUCUUAAUCAGGCGGUUCGGGGUUCGAGCCCCCGAUGGUCUACCA
Molecule: transfer RNA, 76 nt
Filed under: Halanaerobiaceae bacterium
Lineage: Bacteria; Bacillati; Bacillota; Clostridia; Halanaerobiales; Halanaerobiaceae
Description: tRNA-Lys
Rfam family: tRNA
About the family: Transfer RNA (tRNA) molecules are approximately 80 nucleotides in length. Their secondary structure includes four short double-helical elements and three loops (D, anti-codon, and T loops).
Source: RNAcentral